UACAGAGGGGGCAAGCGUUGUUCGGAAUUACUGGGCGUAAAGGGCGCGUAGGCGGCCUGUUAAGUCGAACGUGAAGUCCCCGGGCUCAACCCGGGAACUGCGUCCGAUACUGGCAGGCUUGAAUCCGGGAGAGGGAUGCGGAAUUCCAGGUGUAGCGGUGAAAUGCGUAGAUAUCUGGAGGAACACCAGUGGCGAAAGCGGCCACCUGGACUGCACCUGACGCUGACACGCGAAAGCUAGGGGAGCGAACGGG
This 253-nucleotide ribosomal RNA is filed under the name uncultured bacterium. RNAcentral describes it as "partial 16S ribosomal RNA". It matches the Rfam family "Bacterial small subunit ribosomal RNA", at positions 524 to 776 of the family's 1533-position model. The record is from RNAcentral.